Molecule: ribosomal RNA, 468 nt
Filed under: uncultured bacterium
Lineage: Bacteria
Description: partial 16S ribosomal RNA
Rfam family: Bacterial small subunit ribosomal RNA
Source: RNAcentral
GACGAACGCUGGCGGCGUGCUUAACACAUGCAAGUCGAACGGAAAGGCCCUGCUUUUGUGUGGUGCUCGAGUGGCGAACGGGUGAGUAACACGUGAGUAACCUGCCCUUGACUUUGGGAUAACUUCAGGAAACUGGGGCUAAUACCGGAUAGGAGCUCCUGCUGCAUGGUGGGGGUUGGAAAGUUUCGGCGGUUGGGGAUGGACUCGCGGCUUAUCAGCUUGUUGGUGGGGUAGUGGCUUACCAAGGCUUUGACGGGUAGCCGGCCUGAGAGGGUGACCGGCCACAUUGGGACUGAGAUACGGCGCAGACUCCUACGGGAGGCAGCAGUGGGGAAUAUUGCACAAUGGGCGGAAGCCUGAUGCAGCAACGCCGCGUGCGGGAUGACGGCCUUCGGGUUGUAAACCGCUUUCGCCGGUGACGAAGCGUGAGUGACGGUAAUGGGUAAAGAAGCACCGGCUAACUACGUG